ACUGCCUAGAGACCCUAUUGCCUGAAAAUGCUGCACGCGCCCUCACGUACCAGAGAGACUCUCUAUGCCUGGUUGCCAUGUGUUGCCAUCAGUGACACGCACUGACCACCGGGACUACCUUCACCUACACGUAACACCAAUGGUCUCCAUUUCUGCCAAGCUCUUUCUGGAUUGGUCGAAAAUCACGAAAAUAGAGGCUGAUUUUAAGCAAUUUUUUGGACAAUUUUUCAAUUUGGUUUUUACUUCAUUUCUGUGGAUUUUUUGGACGUUUUAUAGUAAGUUUUUGUGGCACUGACAGAGGAGAGUAGUGCAAUAUUACAAAAUAAACUACCUCCCAAACUCAAGGAUCCCACCCAUUUCAAUUGGAGAAAUUGAUUCUUUCAAUACUUUAUGUGAUACAGGCACAAGUAUUAAUUUAAUGCCUUUAUAUGUCUUCAAGAAAUUGGGAUUAUGGAAAGCAAAAGAAACAACAAUGUUAUUGCAGCUGGCUGAUAAAAACAUUAAAUAUCGAAGAGGUAACAUUGAGGCUAUACUCAUCAAGGCUGGCAAAUUUAUAUUUCCAGUAAACUUUAUUGUUCUAAUAAUCUUGGGACGUCCAUUCUUAACAACAGGUCGACUUUGAUUGAUAUGGAGAAAUGUGAACUAAUAUUGAGAGUUUAUAAGGAACAAUAAGUUUUUAAAAUACACAGUGCAUCCAAACAACCAUCAAAUCUCGACGAACGUAAGUGUAUUCAUGAAGAUGAACUAUCCAUUCAACAAAACUGUCAAAUUAGAAAACCAAAAUUUUAAUAACGGAGAAUUCAUAGUUUAGAGAGAUAAAAGGGGAUGCAAGGCUAGAAAUUGCAAGGAGUACAAGGCAAAACAUUUCAAUU
This 872-nucleotide long non-coding RNA is filed under the name Olea europaea subsp. europaea. The record is from RNAcentral. Lineage: Eukaryota; Viridiplantae; Streptophyta; Magnoliopsida; Lamiales; Oleaceae.